AACCUCCGCAAUGUGAGAAAUCGCGACGGGGGGAUCCCAAGUGCCAUUCUUAACGAGAUGGCUUUUCAUUAGUGUAAAGAGCUUUUGGAAUAAGAGCUGGGCAAGACCGGUGCCAGCCGCCGCGGUAACACCGGCAGCUCUAGUGGUAACAAUUUUUAUUGGGCCUAAAGCGUCCGUAGCCGGUUUAAUAAGUCUCUGGUGAAAUCCUGUAGCUUAACUGUGGGAAUUGCUGGAGAUACUAUUAGACUUGAGAUCGGGAGAGGUUAGAGGUACUCCCAGGGUAGAGGUGAAAUUCUGUAAUCCUGGGAGGACCGCCUGUUGCGAAGGCGUCUAACUGGAACGAUUCUGACGGUGAGGGACGAAAGUUAGGGGCGCGAACCGGAUUAGAUACCCGGGUAGUCCUAACUGUAAACGAUGCGGACUUGGUGUUGGGGUGGCUUUGAGCUGCUCCAGUGCCGAAGGGAAGCUGUUAAGUCCGCCGCCUGGGAAGUACGGUCGCAAGACUGAAACUUAAAGGAAUU
RNAcentral lists this ribosomal RNA (521 nucleotides) under uncultured bacterium. Its description in RNAcentral is "bacterial SSU rRNA". It matches the Rfam family "Archaeal small subunit ribosomal RNA", at positions 345 to 866 of the family's 1478-position model. The record is from RNAcentral.